GAUGAACGCUGGCGGCGUGCCUAAUACAUGCAAGUCGAGCGAACAGACGAGGAGCUUGCUCCUCUGACGUAGCGGCGGACGGGUGAGUAACACGUGGAUAACCUACCUAUAAGACUGGGAUAACUUCGGGAAACCGGAGCUAAUACCGGAGAAUAUAUUGAACCGCAUGGUUCAAUAGUGAAAGACGGUUUUGCUGUCACUUAUAGAUGGAUCCGCGCCGCAUUAGCUAGUUGGUAAGGUAACGGCUUACCAAGGCAACGAUGCGUAGCCGACCUGAGAGGGUGAUCGGCCACACUGGAACUGAGACACGGUCCAGACUCCUACGGGAGGCAGCAGUAGGGAAUCUUCCGCAAUGGGCGAAAGCCUGACGGAGCAACGCCGCGUGAGUGAUGAAGGUCUUCGGAUCGUAAAACUCUGUUAUUAGGGAAGAACAAAUGUGUAAGUAACUAUGCACGUCUUGACGGUACCUAAUCAGAAAGCCACGGCUAACUACGUG
Molecule: ribosomal RNA, 496 nt
Filed under: uncultured bacterium
Lineage: Bacteria
Description: partial 16S ribosomal RNA
Rfam family: Bacterial small subunit ribosomal RNA
Source: RNAcentral